CGGAGAGGGCGCAUGAGAGACGGCUACCACAUCCAAGGAUGGCAGCAGGCGCGCAAAUUACCCAAUCCUGAUUCAGGGAGGUAGUGACAAGAAAUAACGAAGUAGGACACAUUGUGAUUCUGCUAUUGGAAUGAGUGGGUUUUAAAAAUCUCCACGAGUAACAAUUGGAGGGCAAGUCUGGUGCCAGCAGCCGCGGUAAUUCCAGCUCCAAUAGCGUAUAUUAAAGUUGUUGCAGUUAAAAAGCUCGUAGUUGAAAUUGUGUGCGUAGGGUUGGUCUGGCGAUUGUCGUGCCAAUUCUAUGUACAUUUCUCGAAUUUAUUCGGGACUGUUACUUUGAGGAAAUUAGAGUGCUCCAAGCAAGCUUUGCUUUGAAUACUUCAGCAUAGGAUAACGUCAUAAGACUUUGGUUUUCGUUGUUAGUUCUGUGACCAGAGUAAAGGUUAAUAGGAACGGUUGGGGGCAUUCGUAUUCAACAGUUAGAGGUGAAAUUCUUAGAUCUGUUGAAGACGCACUAAUGCGAAAGCAUCUGCCAAGGACGUUUUCAUUAAUCAAGAACGAAAGUUAGGGGAUCGAAGACGAUCAGACACCGUCGUAGUCUUAACCAUAAACUAUGCCGACUAGAGAUUGGAGGUCGUCCAUCUUGACUCUUCCAGCAUCUUAAGAGAAAUCAAAGUUUUUGGGUUCUGGGGGGAGUAUGGUCGCAAGGCUGAAACUUGAAGGAAUUGACGGAAGGGCACCACCAGGAGUGGAGCCUGCGGCUUAAUUUGACUCAACACGGGAAAACUCACCAGGUCCAGACAUAGGCAUGAUUGACAGAUUGAUCGUUCUUUCUUGAUUCUAUGGGUGGUGGUGCGUGGCCGUUCUUAGUUGGUGGAGUGAUUUGUCUGGUUAAUUCCGUUAACGAACGAGACCUCAGCCUGCUAAAUAGGGUUCUGCGGUUCGCCGCAGCAAUACCUUCUUAGAGGGACUUUGGGCAGAAAGCUCAAGGAAGAUUGAGGCAAUAACAGGUCUGUGAUGCCCUUAGAUGACCUGGGCUGCACGCGCGCUACAAUGGUUCGGAGAGCGAGCGUAUCCUGUCCCGUGAGGGAUGGGUAAUCUUGUGAAUCCGAAUCGUGAUCGGGAUCGAUUCUUGUAAUUAUUAAUCGUGAACGAGGAAUUCCUAGUAAGCACGAGUCAUCAACUCGUGCUGAUUACGUCCCUGCCCUUUGUACACACCGCCCGUCGCUGCCUCCGAUUGGGUGUUGAGAUGAAUUAUUCGGACUGUUUUAUUUAUAGAAUGGGAAGUUUCGUAAACCUUAACACUUAGAGGAAGCAGAAGUCGUAACAAGGUAACC
This 1334-nucleotide ribosomal RNA is filed under the name uncultured eukaryote. Its description in RNAcentral is "SSU rRNA". It matches the Rfam family "Eukaryotic small subunit ribosomal RNA", at positions 384 to 1804 of the family's 1831-position model. The record is from RNAcentral.